This 355-nucleotide unclassified non-coding RNA is filed under the name Hevea brasiliensis (rubber tree). The record is from RNAcentral. Lineage: Eukaryota; Viridiplantae; Streptophyta; Magnoliopsida; Malpighiales; Euphorbiaceae.
GGAAGGAAGAGUUCUGUGAGGAGUUAGCCAAGAAAAAGAAGAAAAGGGAUCUCAAAAGUGGAGAAAUGUGGUGGCAAAGGGACGAAGAGGUAGCGCCUGAAAGAAAGAGGAGGAAAAGCAAGGGAAGUAGGAGCAGCAUUGAUUGGUGGCUUGAUAGUUUCAGUGGCGAGUUUCGGAUUGGAAGACGAAGUAGUCAAGAUUUUGCCAGUGGAGAUAUUCCCAAGAGUGGAGGUGUGAGUAGUACCCCCAGUAUGAGAGGAACAGUUUGUUACAUCGCUCCAGAGUAUGGCGGUGGAGGGCAGCUCUCAGAGAAAUGCGACGUGUACAGUUUUGGUGUUUUGUUAUUGGUUUUAGU